AGUGAACGCUGGCGGUAGGCCUAACACAUGCAAGUCGAACGGCAGCACAGUAAGAGCUUGCUCUUACGGGUGGCGAGUGGCGGACGGGUGAGGAAUACAUCGGAAUCUACUUUUUCGUGGGGGAUAACGUAGGGAAACUUACGCUAAUACCGCAUACGACCUACGGGUGAAAGCAGGGGAUCUUCGGACCUUGCGCGAUUGAAUGAGCCGAUGUCGGAGUAGCUAGUUGGCGGGGUAAUGGCCCACCAAGGCGACGAUCCGUAGCUGGUCUGAGAGGAUGAUCAGCCACACUGGAACUGAGACACGGUCCAGACUCCUACGGGAGGCAGCAGUGGGGAAUAUUGGACAAUGGGCGCAAGCCUGAUCCAGCCAUACCGCGUGGGUGAAGAAGGCCUUCGGGUUGUAAAGCCCUUUUGUUGGGAAAGAAAAGCAGCAGGUUAAUACCCCGCUGUUCUGACGGUACCCAAAGAAUAAGCACCGGCUAACUUCGUG
RNAcentral lists this ribosomal RNA (492 nucleotides) under uncultured bacterium. RNAcentral describes it as "partial 16S ribosomal RNA". It matches the Rfam family "Bacterial small subunit ribosomal RNA", at positions 29 to 507 of the family's 1533-position model. The record is from RNAcentral.